GACGAACGCUGGCGGCGUGCUUAACACAUGCAAGUCGAACGAAGAGCGAUGGAAGCUUGCUUCUAUCAAUCUUAGUGGCGAACGGGUGAGUAACGCGUAAUCAACCUGCCCUUCAGAGGGGGACAACAGUUGGAAACGACUGCUAAUACCGCAUACGAUCCAAUCUCGGCAUCGGGACUGGAUGAAAGGUGGCCUCUAUUUAUAAGCUAUCACUGAAGGAGGGGAUUGCGUCUGAUUAGCUAGUUGGAGGGGUAACGGCCCACCAAGGCGAUGAUCAGUAGCCGGUCUGAGAGGAUGAACGGCCACAUUGGGACUGAGACACGGCCCAGACUCCUACGGGAGGCAGCAGUGGGGAAUCUUCCGCAAUGGACGAAAGUCUGACGGAGCAACGCCGCGCGAGUGAUGACGGCCUUCGGGUUGUAAAGCUCUGUUAAUCGGGACGAAUGGUUCUUGUGCGAAUAGUGCGAGGAUUUGACGGUACCGGAAUAGAAAGCCACGGCUAACUACGUG
This 510-nucleotide ribosomal RNA is filed under the name uncultured bacterium. RNAcentral's name for it is "partial 16S ribosomal RNA". It matches the Rfam family "Bacterial small subunit ribosomal RNA", at positions 28 to 507 of the family's 1533-position model. The record is from RNAcentral.